This 299-nucleotide RNase P RNA is filed under the name bacterium. RNAcentral's name for it is "RNase P RNA component class A". It matches the Rfam family "Bacterial RNase P class A". Rfam says of the family: Ribonuclease P (RNase P) is a ubiquitous endoribonuclease, found in archaea, bacteria and eukarya as well as chloroplasts and mitochondria. Its best characterised activity is the generation of mature 5'-ends of tRNAs by cleaving the 5'-leader elements of precursor-tRNAs. Cellular RNase Ps are ribonucleoproteins. The record is from RNAcentral.
GUAGUUAUAGAUUCUAUCGCUUCUUUUUAAAGAAGAGGAAAGUCCGGACAAGAUAGAGAAACAUAGCGGAUAACAUCCGUCGUCUGUAAAGAUCGGACAAGUGCAACAGAAAGCAAGUACAGUUCGGCUGUAGUGAAACCAGGUAAACUCUAUGUCUUGCAAUGCCAUGUAAACUAAGAAUUGAGGCUUUCUCGGCCAACUUAGAGGGUAGGCAGAUUGAGGUAUAAAGUAAUUAAUAUCCUAGAUAAAUGAUAGAACCCAUUUUGGGAACAGAAUCCGGCUUAUGAGUAUCUACUAAA